This is a long non-coding RNA of Xiphophorus couchianus (Monterrey platyfish), 219 nucleotides long. RefSeq lists it as uncharacterized. The record is from RefSeq and is a predicted model, not a curated record. The transcript has 3 exons. Lineage: Eukaryota; Metazoa; Chordata; Actinopteri; Cyprinodontiformes; Poeciliidae.
CCCACUGACUUCGCAAUGUUUCAAUGAGAUUUUUUUAUUCUGGGGGAGAAGAGUAAAAACAAAUCAACCUCCUCUCCAACUCCCUCUCCCUGCACUCCAGCCCCACAGCAGCGCGGAACAACGCUGAGUACUAACAUUUCUUUUUCUCAGAUUCAACAAAAGUCAACAACAAAAAAAAAAAAGAAAUCAUCUCACAAAAAUCAUAAACUAAAAACAAGA